CUCUCACAGCCUGAUCAUCCAUCUGCCCCUCAGAACAUCUGGCAGGUUCCUGAUACAUGUCAAGAAAGAUCUGGUGUUAGUUUUGAUUCCUUUUGCUAGUUGUUCCUUGAAGCUUUUCUUGACCUGACUGUCUUUCUACAUGUGAGGUGCUGAAGUUUGCAUACUUCUCUGCUCUUCCCGUAGUAGCCAACUUCAGCUUUUUUUGAUAGAUGCUUUUUUCUGACUUCCUUUACUCCACUGAGCAAUGCUUUCUGUUCCCCACAUGAAAGGUGCUCAUCCCAUUUUUCAUGAGCACGCCUGGUUUAGCAAGGAUGGCAAAGGGUGACAGGAAGUGAAUUCAGGUGAUGCGAAUGAAAAAUAUAAGGGGUGGCAUUUUCGGACAGACAGAAAAAAAACAGUUGUGGUUGGUGUUGGUAUAGGCCAUCAGUGCAAGGCAACAGGUCAAAACUACAAAGGCUGCCGAAGCAGAAUGGGAAGAAGAGAAGGCUGUUUCCAGAAGGCUGGAGAUCAAGAGGUAGAGGGCAGGAACAGUGAAGACAUCAAGUGAGAAAACAGGAUUAUGACCCUGAUCCCUGGAUGUCACAUUGAGAGGGGGUGUGAGAAGCAAGAGGGAUCAGCAACAUUGCCCCAACAGAGAAGGAGACAUCACCAUCACCAGAGCAAAGCCAGGCAGCAAAAGCAACACGAAACCGCCAAGGCAGGAGUGACUGAGGGGUGCACCUGGAGAAUUACCUGAGGCAGUAUCAAAACCGGAGGACUCCCUUUUGUGCCACCAGAACAGUUCUCUGCACCCACUCUGUUCCUACAAGGUAAAAAAUGAAUAAUGCAUUGAAAAGCAGCCUCCUUGGGAAGCAAAAGAGUGGGAAUGCAUACAUGGACAUACUCGUGCUGCUGUAGUAUCACUGCUUGUCUGGGACAGACGCCACUGCUGCCUGGCAAGUUACAUCAGCAGCAAGGGAAAAAGCGUUCAACAGCCCAUUGGAUUGGCUUGCAAAUCCCUGCUGGCUUUUUAAUAAUGAUCCUCUUCAGGGAGCACCACCUCUGCCUUAAGGAAGUCCGUGAAUCCUGGGUAAAAAACUCCCUGCUGAAAAGCAACAGCAGCACAAAGCGUAUCCUCAUAUCUGCCCAUCUAUCAGCUACUAGGUGGUGCCUCUUUGGCCACAUACUUCAGUUAAACUUAUAGCACCUCCACACUGCUAUUCCUUGACUGUCUACUGUCUGGAUUGCUAGUUUUAAUGCAGAAAAAUAUAAUCAGAUGUACAGCUGAUUAGUUGUAGCUAAUCCAGAAAUAAUCAUUGGUUUCU
This is a long non-coding RNA of Pezoporus flaviventris, 1304 nucleotides long. RefSeq lists it as uncharacterized. Lineage: Eukaryota; Metazoa; Chordata; Aves; Psittaciformes; Psittacidae. The transcript is spliced from 3 exons. The record is from RefSeq and is a predicted model, not a curated record.